RNAcentral lists this ribosomal RNA (491 nucleotides) under uncultured bacterium. RNAcentral's name for it is "bacterial SSU rRNA". It matches the Rfam family "Bacterial small subunit ribosomal RNA", at positions 27 to 507 of the family's 1533-position model. The record is from RNAcentral.
GAGUGAACGCUGGCGGCAGGCCUAAUACAUGCAAGUCGAACGGCAGCACGGCAGAGCUUGCUCUGUGGGUGGCGAGUGGCGGACGGGUGAGGAAUACAUGGGAAUCUGCCCAGUCGUGGGGGAUAACGUAGGGAAACUUACGCUAAUACCGCAUGCGCCCUUCGGGGGAAAGCCGGGGACCUUCGGGCCUGGCGCGAUUGGAUGAGCCCAUGUCGGAUUAGCUAGUUGGCGGGGUAAUGGCCCACCAAGGCGACGAUCCGUAGCUGGUCUGAGAGGAUGAUCAGCCACACUGGAACUGAGACACGGUCCAGACUCCUACGGGAGGCAGCAGUAGGGAAUAUUGGACAAUGGGCGCAAGCCUGAUCCAGCCAUGCCGCGUGAGUGAAGAAGGCCCUCGGGUUGUAAAGCUCUUUUGUCCGGAAAGAAAAGCGCCGGGUUAAUACCCUGGUGUCCUGACGGUACCGGAAGAAUAAGCACCGGCUAACUUCGUG